CCUACGGGUGGCUGCAGUCGAGAAUCUUCGGCAAUGGACGAAAGUCUGACCGAGCGACGCCGCGUGCGGGAUGAAGGUCUUCGGAUUGUAAACCGCUGUCGGAGGGGAUGAAGUAUACGAGAGCUAUCUCUUGUAUUUGACAGAGCCUCGGAGGAAGCACGGGCUAAGUUCGUGCCAGCAGCCGCGGUAAUACGAACUGUGCGAACGUUAUUCGGAAUCACUGGGCUUAAAGGGUGCGUAGGCGGUCAACUAAGUCACGUGUGAAAUCUUCUGGCUCAACCAGAAAACUGCGCGUGAUACUGGAUGACUUGAGUGAGGUAGGGGUGUGUGGAACUUCCGGUGGAGCGGUGAAAUGUGUAGAGAUCGGAAGGAACGCCAGCAGCGAAAGCGACACACUGGGCCUUGUCUGACGCUGAGGCACGAAAGCUAGGGUAGUGAACGGGAUUAGAUACCCCUGUAGUC
Molecule: ribosomal RNA, 462 nt
Filed under: uncultured Planctomycetota bacterium
Lineage: Bacteria; Pseudomonadati; Planctomycetota
Description: bacterial SSU rRNA
Rfam family: Bacterial small subunit ribosomal RNA
Source: RNAcentral